GGAUGGACUGGGAUUGAACUGGGAUUGAACUGGGAUUGAACUGGGAUGGACUGGGAUUGAACUGGGAUGGACUGGGAUUGAACUGGGAUGAACUGGGAUGAAUUGGGAGGGUCCCCAGGGGAUCCCCAAUCCCAGCUCGGGGCGUUCCCAGGUGGAUCCCAAAUCCCGAAUUUUGGGAUCCGUGAGGAUUCCCCAAACCCCUCCCGGGGCUCCCAGGAAGGGAAUUCCCAAUUCCCGGGGCUCCUUUUCCCAGGAAUCCCCUCCCCACCCCGCUAAUGAGAUGCAAACGGUUCAUUUGCAUAUUCAUGAUCUCAUUUAUCCUCGUCCCUUUCCCGGGAUCAGCCGGGUGACCCAAAAACCGGGAAUUUCCUCCCCAAUUCCCAGAAUUCUGAUCCCAGAUUUGGGGAUUUUGGGUCUCCUCGGUGGCGUCGGAAUUCCUGAAAUUCCCAGAAUUCCCAGAAUUCCCGGAAUUCCGAUCCCGGCUCCCUCUGGGAUUCCUUUCCCUCCCGGCACCGGGAAAUCCCACAGCGCUUUUGGGACCUCGGAUUUUGGGAUUUCCGCUCAAAUUCCUUGGAAUUCCCGAAGGUUUUCGUCCUUCCUUGGAUUGUUUGGAUCCCCAAAUCCCGCUGGGAAUUCCCAAAGGGAUCCCCAAAUCCCGCAGGGAAUUCCCUGUCCCCUCACCCGUUCCUCACCCAUUACUCACCCUUUACUCACCCAUUACUCACCCUUUACUCACCCUUUACUCACUUGUUCCUCACCUGUUCCUCACCUGUUCCUCACUCCUUCCUCACCCGUUCCGCAUUACUCACCCGUUACUCACCUGUUCCUCACCCAUUCCUCACGUGUUCCUCACCUGUUCCUCACCCAUUCCUUACCCGUUACUCACUCGUUACUCACCCAUUACUCGCCUGUUACUCACCCUUUCCUCACCCGUUCCUUGCCCGUUCCUCACCUGUUCCUCACCCAUUACUCACUCGUUACUCACCCGUUCCUCACCCGUUCCUCACUCGUUGCUCACCUGUUCCUCACCUGUUCCUCACCCUUUACUCACUCGUUCCUCACUCGUUCCUCACCUGUUACUCACUCGUUACUCACCUGUCCCCUCACCCAUUCCUCACCCGUUCCUCACCUGUUCCUCACCCAUUACCCACUCGUUCCUCACUCGCUACUCACCUGUUACUCACUCGUUACUCACCUGUCCCCUCACCGGUUCCUCACCUGUUCCUCACUCGUUCCUCACCCGUUCCUCACUUGUUCCUCACUCGUUCCUCACUCGUUCCUCACUUGUUCCUCACUCGUUCCUCACCUGUCCCCUCACCCGUUCCUCGCCCGUUCCUCACUUGUUACUCACUCGUUCCUCACUCGUUACUCACCCGUUCCUCACCCUUUACUCACUCGUUACUCACCNNNNNNNNNNNNNNNNNNNNNNNNNNNNNNNNNNNNNNNNNNNNNNNNNNNNNNNNNNNNNNN
Molecule: long non-coding RNA, 1470 nt
Filed under: Parus major (Great Tit)
Lineage: Eukaryota; Metazoa; Chordata; Aves; Passeriformes; Paridae
Description: lncRNA (ENSPMJG00000003567.1)
Source: RNAcentral